AAAGCAAGUCUUUUAAGAUCUUUUCCUGAUAAUGCUCAUGAUAAUUGAAGACCACGACCAUUCUGAAGUGGGAUCUGGAUGCCCUAUGUCCAAGAUGAUGGAACAGCUUCCAUGGCAGCUCCUGAUCAGCUGGUGCUCAUCCCUACAAUUAAUAACAUUGUCAACCCUGCUGAUAAUGUUAUUAAUCAGACGGUGGCAGUGCAUAAACAUUUCAGCUCAGGGUACCAUUUGUUCUGUGUUUAUGAAGCACUGGAGACAUAACAGCGUUCAUGCUCCUGAAGUUGAAUGGCAGCUCUGGGUAUCUCUUGGACCUGAGCUACCAGAGCAGGAAAGAUGCCCCUAGGAGGUAUUCCUGAGAAAGUGGGCUCCGUUAUGUUCAGGACCAGAAUGAAAGUGAAACUCAUCAUUAGUCUGGUUGAUUCAGUGUCUGAAUACACUUCGUACCAUGAGGAUCCUCUUCCCUGAGCCAAAGUCUGUCAGAGUCAAUUUCAGCAGUUGAUGAGGCCCUUCAGUGCCUAGAUUGCAGGAGCAUGAUAAAAAUAUCUGAAGAUAAAUGUUAUUGUUCGUGGUCCCUGUGUUCCUGCUGCAAAUUAUUCACUGUACAUUGAGAAAAAGUCUGUAUUAUACUGGACAGGUCAGUGUUUGCCUGAAAUCCCAUCAUGGCUACUUCUGCAUUUGAUGAGUAUUACCAGCACAGACAGAGGCACCAUGGAGGAAAUCCCAGCCGUGCAGAACAAAUAUGAAAUGGUGGAUGGUGAGAAGAAAGGAGGUUUCCAUCCUUCUAACUCUACAGGGCAUCAUGUUGAUGGGAAUGAGAGGCCAGACCCAGCUGAUGUCUGUGGAAUGCCUUGCUUGGCUGGUGUGGGGCUAUGCUGGAAGGGCCAUGUCACAUCCUGACAGUCUGCUAUGAAAGGGGCCCUGGUCUUUAGAAGGAUACUAUACACAUGCAGAAGAUCACUCAAAGAAGAUGUAUAAUUCUUAAUCAAAAGAAAGAAGGGAUCAAUUUUGCACAAUAAGGAAAAGUCCCUGGGCUGAGAUGAAGCUGUCCCAUUUUAAAAGGAUCAGAGGCAAUGUAGCUUGUGCCCAAAAUUGAGAGGAGCAGACUCUCCUUGGCAAGAAGUCAAUGUUGAGAUCUCUGUGCAUACUUCUUCAGCAUGAUGGACAGAUAACAGG
Molecule: long non-coding RNA, 1173 nt
Organism: Lagopus leucura (white-tailed ptarmigan)
Lineage: Eukaryota; Metazoa; Chordata; Aves; Galliformes; Phasianidae
Exons: 11
Source: RefSeq, a predicted model, not a curated record